Molecule: ribosomal RNA, 253 nt
Filed under: uncultured bacterium
Lineage: Bacteria
Description: partial 16S ribosomal RNA
Rfam family: Bacterial small subunit ribosomal RNA
Source: RNAcentral
UACGGGGGGGGCAAGCGUUGUUCGGAAUUACUGGGCGUAAAGGGCUCGUAGGUGGCCAACUAAGUCAGACGUGAAAUCCCUCGGCUUAACCGGGGAACUGCGUCUGAUACUGGAUGGCUUGAGUUCGGGAGAGGGAUGCGGAAUUCCAGGUGUAGCGGUGAAAUGCGUAGAUAUCUGGAGGAACACCGGUGGCGAAGGCGGCAUCCUGGACCGAUACUGACACUGAUGCGCGACAGCAUGGGGAGCAAACAGG